AGUGUCCGGAAAUCCCAAUCUCCUCCACCUCCCCACGCUUGCGCCUAAAACCCUAGUUCGCUUACCAAUGGCGCCGAAGAAGCGCAAGGCCGAUCCCACCGAGACCGCCGCCGUCGCGGAUCCCGCCGCAGCCAAUCACCGGCAGGAGCCCGCAUCCUCCGAGCCCAGGCCCCGCGGCACCAUCUACUUCCCCAUCACCGACGACCCGCCGGAGCCCACCGCCCUCGCCGAGGAGGACGAGGACGAGGGCGCCGGGGACGAUGAGGAGGAGGUGGAGGACAUCGGGAAGCUGCUCGAGCCGCUGUCGCGGGAGCAGCUCGUGGCGCUGCUCCGCACGGCCGCGGAGGGGAGCCCCGCCACGAUGGCGGCCGUGCGGCGCGUGGCGGAGUCCGACCCCGCGAGCAGGAAGCUGUUCGUCCACGGCCUCGGGUGGGGCGCCGGCGCCGACGAUCUCCGCUCCACGUUCUCACGCUUCGGCGAUCUCGAGGACUGCCGCGUCAUCUCCGACAAGCAGUCGGGGAGAUCAAAGGGCUACGGGUUUGUCCUUUUCCGCUCCCGCCGCUCAGCGCUCCGCGCCCUCCGCCGCCCCCAACUCCAAAUCGGAGGUCGUCUUGCUUUCUGCCACCUCGCUGCCUCUGGUCCUGCGCCCCCAGCAUCACAGUCCCAGAACCCAAGCUCCAACGCCAACACUAAUUCCAACUCCGCUGCCACCACCAACGCUUCUGGUUCCUCAUCUUCACAACCCGACAAUAUGCAACGCAAGAUAUUUGUUGGUAACGUGCACGCUGAUGUCGACGUUGACCGCCUCUAUGAGUAUUUCUCGCAAUUUGGUGAGAUUGAGGAGGGGCCAUUGGGCUUUGACAAGAACACCGGCAAACCUAAGGGAUUUGCAUUGUUUGUUUACAAGACUGCGGAGAGUGCCCGCCGUGCAUUGGAGGAGCCAGUUAGGAAUUUUGAUGGCAAGAUGCUCAAUGUGCAGAAAGCUAUAGAUGGGAGGACCAAGAGUGUAACCGGGACAAACGCAAAUGCUAAUUCUAAUACCACGGCUGCCUCUGUGGCGGCUGCCGCCGCACAGAUGACUGCUCCUGCCAGCGCUGCUAUUAGCCCGUAUGAUGCAUCAGCAUAUGGUUCUACUGUUGUUCCUGACUUGGGGUUUGCGCAGCAAGCUGCUAUGCUGGGGUUAGGUGCCCAACAGCAGGCAUUUGCGCAGCCCAAUGCAAUGCUUGCCAUGAUGGCAGCGGCAAUGCAGAACCCAGCCGCGCUGGGGAUGACACCAGCCAUGUUCGCAGCUAUGAACCCUGCCUUCGCUGCUGCUGCAUUGGGUGCUGGGGGACAGCAGGUACACACGGCUGGCCUUGCGGGUUUUGGAGCUCAAGGUUUUGGAACGCAGGCGUUUGGAUCAGGAGGUGCUGCUUUUCCGAAUGCAGCAGGUGUUCAAGGAGCUGCUGCUGCAUAUCAAGGAGGUCCUCCUGGUUUUCAAGGGCCGCCUGGGUUCCAGAGUUCUGGGUUUCAGGUUGGCCAAGCAACUACCCAGACAGGUACUGCAGUGGCGGCUGCCGGUGCUGCUGGUUAUCAGGCUGGCGCUGCUGGGCAGGGCCAAGUGCCAGGUGCUCAGAUAGGGGGCACUGGUUUUCAGGGUGGAUAUUGACAGAACUAGGUCUAAUGGUUUUCUGGGCACUUGAAGACAUUUCAAUUGCAGUUGCACUGGUGUUUCGAAGUAUGGGGUAUUCAUAGCUUUUGCCUUCCAUCUGGGAAGUUUCUACUUUGAGUGGAGCCUAAGGCACACACUUCAGGCGGUGAGUGCAAGGAGGCAACAACUGGUCAGCGGUGGCAGGGGAGUCCUAAGGUCCCUUCUGCAUUUGUGUAGUGUUUGGCUGGCUAGCCUGGGCCAGCCUAGGUCACAUUCUCUUUCUCAUUUUCUUUUACUUUGUUUUCUUAGGGUUAAGGACUGAAGGGCACCCUCUCUUUCAGCCUUUCAGCCCCCUCCGCAGAUACAUGUGUCUCUUCUCCUUUUCCUUCCCUCUCCUUCUUCCAUUCCCCUAGCUAGGCAAUGCCUAGGCGGUGAGUCGUCCGCCUUGCCAAAAUUGCACUUGUUGGCAUUCAUUAUUUGCAUCAGGACUUAAAGUUUUAGCAUUAACUUGGUAUUCACUUUUUUUGCAAUAUGGAUUAAGUUUGGUAUACACUAGUGCUGCAAGAAGUUUACAAUGCCCCUUUACAUCUACUUGUCACUGUCAUUUAUGCUUUGGUGCCCUCAAUCUUCAGUAUCUUGUCAACCAUUGCCGAACUAUUCGUCCCUCACAUCAUUAUAUUAUGUUGAUAUUGUUUUUCCCUUAUAAUUUUGUUUGCAUCAUUAACAAACAGGGUUUCUGUAAACCUCUCGAGCACAUGAUCUUUAUUCUUGAUACAGUAUGCUAUUUGAUUGAGCUUAAUUCAGAGUUGUGGCGGGACUUGUUACUUCAGGUUCUUGUGGUUGUUUAGGAAGUUUUUUCAGUUCAGCUCAGUCUAUCUCCAAGCUCAAAAUUAAUUGUAGGGGAUCUCGAUCAGUUCAGUUUUUCUGCGGAAAUGAUGACCGAAUCCAAUCAAUGUUGCCCUCGUGCCUGAGUGAUCUUUGGAAUCAACUUUUUCCCUGUUUACAAGCUGGUCAAUGUCCCGUGGCUGUGCAAAUAUGAUUGCACAAGCUACAUGCCUCUUGAUCACGAAUGCCCAGCCGAAUCAGUGUUAAAAAAUCACUGCAAGGUGAUUAGAUCUUGGAAAUGUUUCACCUGUCUGCAUUUUCAGCAAUAUUUUAGAAUCUGGUUCGAGUGGACAUAGUCACAUGAACACAUUAGAACGUCCGACCGUGUAUUGAACUAUUCGUGGUUGUGGGCUCGAUUCGCCCUAGUUCUUUUGGUUAUUGGCAUAUAGCGCUACAAAGAUUCGAGCGCAGGUAUAAUGCAUACAGGACGGUUGGUGGUUCAGACAAAUUGAAGAGGUAUGAACUCAGCUACCCUUGUUACAAAUGAUCCGGGCUUGAACGUCAUCGAUUGCUGUUGAUGCCGUUUAGCCCAACAGAAAAGGAAUCUCAUUCCCGAUGUCCCGUUGCCCCACUAAUUGGCCCAGCUUUCCUUUACACAAGCAUCCUGCAUGCAAGUAGUCUGAUGCUCGUACCGAAGCUAUCGUGCUAAUCUUCACUUUCGAAUUUCUUACCCAUGUCUGCCUUUUGGGUUUCAUUUUCCUUGCCUUUCUGAUUAGACUGUUUU
RNA transcript from Phragmites australis (common reed), 3239 nucleotides. It is a transcript of the gene named UBP1-associated protein 2B-like, with no coding region annotated. NCBI's taxonomy places the organism in Eukaryota, Viridiplantae, Streptophyta, Magnoliopsida, Poales, Poaceae. The record is from RefSeq and is a predicted model, not a curated record. The transcript is spliced from 3 exons.